UUCUCCGCUCGCAGACCCGGGUGCCCCUUCCAGGGUCUCCGUGUGCCCGGCCGCAGAGCUGCGUUCAUGUUUCCCGAAGAGCCCGUAGGGCCCCUGUGGGCGAAGGGUCUGCUGUGGAGCCUUGGAGGAGUGGCAGCUCAUCUGGGGAAAGAGUAAAGCUGCACCAGGGCAGCCUUCUUUCCUUCGCGGAGUGUUUACAGAAGCCCACCUCUGGGCCUGCGGAGACCCACAGUGGCUUCUACCCUCAGGUUGCUGGCGUUUCAGACCUGGUCGCGACGUCUAUGGAAAACCACCCUGAUCAGAGCAGGCAGCUUUAAAAGCAGAAGCCCUCAGUUCAGUUCCUGCUCCGCUGCUUCCUAGCAGUGUAAACCUGGGCAAGUCUUGAAGUCCCUUGAGCCUCAGUUUCUUCCUCUGUGAAAUGGGCAUAAUAACAGGAGUGAAGUGAGGAUUCAGGGAGAAAAAGUAUGGAGAGUGUUUAGCGCAGCGACCCGCGCCGAGUGAAUGCUUGAAGGAUGAUGGUCCUUAUCAGAGGCAGGGUAUAGUAGACGCUGUGACUGAUACCAAACAGCCUGAGAGAGGCCGCAGUUCAGCUGUGGUGUCUGAAAGGCUCUCUGAAAGAGUGAGCAUCCCGCCGGGUUUUAAAAGAAAGAAUGCCUUUUCCAGCCCUUACUCAUGAAGGACAGUUGGCAUGGCGGCCACAGGUGUGCAGUGCACGAACCAGGCCAUCUGGGGAGGAAAGAGAGAGCACGGCUGAGUUGGGAUCCUGGCUCUACAACUUGGCAGUGUGCCCUGGAGCACAGGCUCCGGACGCGCAGGCUCAGCGGCCAUGGCUCACGGACCCAGCCACUCCGCGGCAUGCGGGAUCCUCCCAGACCGGGGCAUGAACCCGUGUCCCCUGCAUCGGCAGGCGGACUCUCAACCACUGCGCCACCAGGGAAGCCCCACAGCUUCGCGAGGGCUUCCUGUGAGCAUCCAGAGAGCACAAGCGCGGAAGUCACCGGGAGUUUAUGGAGCAGGAACCCGAUGCCGUGUGUUUCAUUCAUAACCAGCCUGCCAUGUAAAUUAGCACAACCCACCUGGUAGGAAUCAGGCUGACACACCUUGUUUGCUUGUUUGCCCUCAGCAGCUAAAGCUUCUGGACUAUCCCAUGAAAGAGAGGGCAGAGUUCCACAGCUGAAUAUUUCUGAUGAGAUGUGAUAACUUACACAUUUAAAGCAUUUUAGCAUUUAUAAAACGUUUUGCAUGUAUUAUCUCAUUUGCUACCUACAGCUCCAAGGGAAGCUUUAUCUUAGCCCUGUUUUAGAAAUGGCAAGUCUGAGGCUCGGGGAGGCUAAUGCCUGCCUGUGGUCUGCAGCGGGUGUGUGUCAAGGCCAGGAGCAAGCGCAGGUCUGAGUACAGGCACGAUGCACCCAUUGCCCCCAAGUGACUCUGGAGAAUCUGACAUUAUCCGCUCUGUUAAUUGCCACUGGGGAUUUAUGUUUUAUAAAACAUGU
Molecule: RNA transcript, 1493 nt
Organism: Mesoplodon densirostris (Blainville's beaked whale)
Lineage: Eukaryota; Metazoa; Chordata; Mammalia; Artiodactyla; Ziphiidae
Exons: 4
Source: RefSeq, a predicted model, not a curated record